GACAGAAGGUGCAAGCGUUACUCGGAAUUACUGGGCGUAAAGCGUCUGUAGGUGUCUUGCCACGUCUGGCGUAAAAUUUCAGUGCUCAACACUGAAUGCGUGCCGGAAACGAGCGAGAUCGAGUCAUUCAGAGGUAUCUGGAAUGUCGUGUGUAGGGGUAAAAUCCGUAGAUACACGAUGGAACGCCAAAAGCGAAGGCAGGAUACUGGGAAUGUACUGACACUCAGAGACGAAAGCGUGGGGAGCAAAGGGG
This 253-nucleotide ribosomal RNA is filed under the name uncultured bacterium. RNAcentral describes it as "partial 16S ribosomal RNA". It matches the Rfam family "Bacterial small subunit ribosomal RNA", at positions 524 to 776 of the family's 1533-position model. The record is from RNAcentral.